GACGAACGCUGGCGGCGUGCCUAAUACAUGCAAGUAGAACGCGGAAUACAGGAGUUGUCUCGUCUGGGAGGGUAAGGGGAGGGGUGCGUACCGUGGAUUUGACCUACCUUCCCGCGGGGGGUGAUAAUUGCGGAUGAUAUCUAAGACCCAAUGAUUUAUCGGCUCAGGAUGGGUUCGCGUUUGAUUAGCUAGUUGGUCGCGUAAAAGCCUACCAAGGUGACGAUACAUAGCUGGUCUGAGAGGAUGAUCAGCAACACUGGGACAGAGACACGGCCCAGACUCCUACGGGAGGCAGCAGUGGGGAAUAUGGGACAAUGGGCGAGAGCCUGAUCCAGCAAUGCCGCGUGAGUGAUUAAGGCCUUAGGAUUGUAAAUCUCUGUUACCCGGGAUGAUAAUGACAGUACCGUGAGAAUAAGCUCCGGCUAACUCCGUG
This 433-nucleotide ribosomal RNA is filed under the name uncultured bacterium. RNAcentral describes it as "partial 16S ribosomal RNA". It matches the Rfam family "Bacterial small subunit ribosomal RNA", at positions 28 to 507 of the family's 1533-position model. The record is from RNAcentral.